AUUAGACGUCCUACAGAAGCAGGCUGGAACCAAUCUUCUCCAACACUAGAUAUUGUCAAAGUUGUUUAUAAGGGCUUAAAUCCAAGUCUAAUCCCGUCAGCUUGUGGAAAUGCUCGGCAUCACCUGAAAAAACUUGUAAAAGAUGAUAAAGUUGAACAUAUAGUUGAAGAAGAUGAAGAAAGAUGGUGUAUUGUGACAUCAAAGUCUAAUAUAUGACAAAUUGAACAAGUAGAACAUCUAAUUGGAUUUUAAUUGCCAAUGGGUGGGAUAUUUUGCCGUGUGGUUGGGAUUUCUUGUCAAGUAUGCAGGAUCUCUCAACUCUCAACUGUGAGAGAACUUUUAUCCUAUUGUGUUUUUUUAUCCAACUGAAUAAGCAGGGCUUUCACUUUAAUAGGCAGGUUUUGUUGUAAAUUUGUGAUAAAGAACAAAGUAAUAUAGAAAGUUAUUGUUUUUAUCAAUUCAUCAAUCUGAAAGAUUUCUCAUAUGUUGAUCAUACUGUUAAUGAAUCUAAUACUAUUAAAUUACUAUACAGUGUUGAGUACAAUAUAGAAUUCUAAUGGAUGUGUACACAGCUGUUUCACCAAUUAAGGUACAGUAGAAGUAUGGUUCUCAGAAAUUGUUUGUAGAAUAUUUAUGAUGAAAGAUUGUUGAAUUUGGAAUUGUUAUAAUAAUUUUUUAUCUACAUUUCAUUCAAAGAUGAGCUUGAUAAACUUUUAUUAUACAUGUCACUCAUACUAUGCAUUACAUUGUAUUAUAUAAAGCAGAUAUGAAUAUCUAUGUAAAGUAUUGCUAUCAAACAAACUAAUGUGGCUUUUAUAUAUGUAGAGCUUUAAUUGUGUCGAAGUUAGAUAAUAUAUUAUAUUUGUAUUUUAUACAUAAAAUGUGUGUGCUAUUAUUAACUAGUAGAUAAAAGUGAAAGUCAGUUAUAAAAUGUUAAUUAUUUAUCACAGUAUAUAAAUGAAAUCACUGUACCCUGUCUAAUGCGAGCCUAUAAAAUUGAAUGUGUACCCCGUCCUUUGAUUACAAGCACAUGUUACUUCCGAUUACUGUUACUUACUUGGGAGCCGAUAUAUUUUAACUUGUACCUUUCUUGGGAUAACAGGAAGUAGACUUGUUUAUAUACUGUGUUUAUACUUAUUAGGAUCUAAAUAGAAUUUUACACAUGUUGUAUUUUGUUAUAGUUUACAAAAUAUAAAAUUUUAACACUUAAGUACCAAGGUAUUUACUUGUAUACAAGUACAUUAUCAAUGUUUUUAAAUUGUUCAUGUUUGUGAUUUUUUGUUACUUUUUUCUCUUGAAAAUACAUGCAUGUAUGAAAAAAAGAUUAUACAUUGUUCAUGCAUAUACAUUUAUACAUAUUUAAUUGUAUCUGUUAAACUUGCUACCGGUACAUUUAAUGUAUUUGUAAUUUUACACAUAUUUGUAAUUUUACACAUAUUUGUAAUUUGUUUAACUUUAACAGACAUAUCUCUAUUGAAAAUAAAGCAAAGUAAAGUAUUUAUUCUAGUCAGAAUUUCGAAAAUAUGAAUAAUGUCAUUGUUUUAUGUUAUUGCAGCAUGUCAUUGGAUGAUUGCAAUAAAA
This is a long non-coding RNA of Ruditapes philippinarum (Manila clam), 1581 nucleotides long. RefSeq lists it as uncharacterized. The record is from RefSeq and is a predicted model, not a curated record. NCBI's taxonomy places the organism in Eukaryota, Metazoa, Mollusca, Bivalvia, Venerida, Veneridae. The transcript has 3 exons.